GAUGAACGCUGGCGGCGUGCCUAAUACAUGCAAGUCGAGCGAACAGACGAGGAGCUUGCUCCUCUGACGUUAGCGGCGGACGGGUGAGUAACACGUGGAUAACCUACCUAUAAGACUGGGAUAACUUCGGGAAACCGGAGCUAAUACCGGAUAAUAUAUUGAACCGCAUGGUUCAAUAGUGAAAGACGGUUUUGCUGUCACUUAUAGAUGGAUCCGCGCCGCAUUAGCUAGUUGGUAAGGUAACGGCUUACCAAGGCAACGAUGCGUAGCCGACCUGAGGGGGUGAUAGCACACAGUGAAACGAGGACACGGUCCAACCACGUAGGGGAGGCAGGGGGAGGAAAUCUUCGGGAGGGGGCAAAGGCCUAUAGGGGAAACGGGGCGGGAGUUAGAAAGGUCUUGGGAGUGUAAAACUUGUUUGUGGGGGGAGAACAAAGGUGUAAGAAAAUUGGCCCGUUUUGACGUAACCGAAGAAGAAGGCCACGGUAAAUUAGGG
Molecule: ribosomal RNA, 496 nt
Filed under: uncultured bacterium
Lineage: Bacteria
Description: partial 16S ribosomal RNA
Rfam family: Bacterial small subunit ribosomal RNA
Source: RNAcentral